Molecule: small nucleolar RNA, 86 nt
Organism: Rhea pennata
Lineage: Eukaryota; Metazoa; Chordata; Aves; Rheiformes; Rheidae
Product: small nucleolar RNA SNORD103/SNORD85
Exons: 1
Source: RefSeq, a predicted model, not a curated record
UCUGGCAAUGACGACACACUUGCCCUCACUGAGAACGCCGUUCGCUAAUGAGAACUGUUCUAUGUACUCAGCAGAGCUGAGCCAGA